GAUAAACGCUGGCGGCGUGCCUAAUACAUGCAAGUCGAGCGAACGGACGAGAGGCUUGCUUCUCUGAUGUUAGCGGCGGACGGGUGAGUAACACGUGGAUAACCUACCUAUAAGACUGGGAUAACUUCGGGAAACCGGAGCUAAUACCGGAUAAUAUUUUGAACCGCAUGGUUCAAAAGUGAAAGACGGUCUUGCUGUCACUCAUAGAUGGAUCCGCGCUGCAUUAGCUAGUUGGUAAGGUAACGGCUUACCAAGGCAACGAUGCAUAGCCGACCUGAGAGGGUGAUCGGCCACACUGGAACUGAGACACGGUCCAGACUCCUACGGGAGGCAGCAGUAGGGAAUCUUCCGCAAUGGGCGAAAGCCUGACGGAGCAACGCCGCGUGAGUGAUGAAGGUCUUCGGAUCGUAAAACUCUGUUAUUAGGGAAGAACAUAUGUGUAAGUAACUGUGCACAUCUUGACGGUACCUAAUCAGAAAGCCACGGCUAACUACGUGCCAGCAGCCGCGGUAAUACGUAGGUGGCAAGCGUUAUCCGGAAUUAUUGGGCGUAAAGCGCGCGUAGGCGGUUUUUUAAGUCUGAUGUGAAAGCCCACGGCUCAACCGUGGAGGGUCAUUGGAAACUGGAAAACUUGAGUGCAGAAGAGGAAAGUGGAAUUCCAUGUGUAGCGGUGAAAUGCGCAGAGAUAUGGAGGAACACCAGUGGCGAAGGCGACUUUCUGGUCUGUAACUGACGCUGAUGUGCGAAAGCGUGGGGAUCAAACAGGAUUAGAUACCCUGGUAGUCCACGCCGUAAACGAUGAGUGCUAAGUGUUAGGGGGUUUCCGCCCCUUAGUGCUGCAGCUAACGCAUUAAGCACUCCGCCUGGGGAGUACGACCGCAAGGUUGAAACUCAAAGGAAUUGACGGGGACCCGCACAAGCGGUGGAGCAUGUGGUUUAAUUCGAAGCAACGCGAAGAACCUUACCAAAUCUUGACAUCCUUUGACAACUCUAGAGAUAGAGCCUUCCCCUUCGGGGGACAAAGUGACAGGUGGUGCAUGGUUGUCGUCAGCUCGUGUCGUGAGAUGUUGGGUUAAGUCCCGCAACGAGCGCAACCCUUAAGCUUAGUUGCCAUCAUUAAGUUGGGCACUCUAAGUUGACUGCCGGUGACAAACCGGAGGAAGGUGGGGAUGACGUCAAAUCAUCAUGCCCCUUAUGAUUUGGGCUACACACGUGCUACAAUGGACAAUACAAAGGGCAGCGAAACCGCGAGGUCAAGCAAAUCCCAUAAAGUUGUUCUCAGUUCGGAUUGUAGUCUGCAACUCGACUACAUGAAGCUGGAAUCGCUAGUAAUCGUAGAUCAGCAUGCUACGGUGAAUACGUUCCCGGGUCU
This 1372-nucleotide ribosomal RNA is filed under the name uncultured bacterium. RNAcentral describes it as "bacterial SSU rRNA". It matches the Rfam family "Bacterial small subunit ribosomal RNA", at positions 28 to 1381 of the family's 1533-position model. The record is from RNAcentral.